This 28-nucleotide small RNA is filed under the name Bombyx mori (domestic silkworm). Its description in RNAcentral is "ovarian small RNA-6344". Lineage: Eukaryota; Metazoa; Arthropoda; Insecta; Lepidoptera; Bombycidae. The record is from RNAcentral.
UAGCAUGUAUGUUAGUGACUUGGUUAGA